UACGUAGGGUCCGAGCGUUGUCCGGAAUUAUUGGGCGUAAAGGGCGCGUAGGCGGUUUGACAAGUCUGAUGUGAAAUCUCUGGGCUCAACCCAGAGUCUGCAUUAGAAACUGUCGGGCUUGAGUAUGGGAGAGGUGAGUGGAAUUUCCGGUGUAGCGGUGAAAUGCGUAGAUAUCGGAAGGAACACCUGUGGCGAAAGCGGCUCACUGGACCAUAACUGACGCUGAGGCGCGAAAGCUAGGGGAGCAAACAGG
RNAcentral lists this ribosomal RNA (253 nucleotides) under uncultured bacterium. RNAcentral's name for it is "partial 16S ribosomal RNA". It matches the Rfam family "Bacterial small subunit ribosomal RNA", at positions 524 to 776 of the family's 1533-position model. The record is from RNAcentral.